GUGGGGAAUAUUGGACAAUGGGCGCAAGCCUGAUCCAGCCAUGCCGCGUGAGUGAUGAAGGCCCUAGGGUUGUAAAGCUCUUUCACCGGUGAAGAUAAUGACGGUAACCGGAGAAGAAGCCCCGGCUAACUUCAUGCCAGCAGCCGCGGUAAUACGAAGGGGGCUAGCGUUGUUCGGAAUUACUGGGCGUAAAGCGCACGUAGGCGGACAUUUAAGUCAGGUGUGAAAUCCCGGGGCUCAACCCCGGAACUGCCUUUGAUACUGGGUGUCUGGAGUAUGGAAGAGGUAAGUGGAAUUCCGAGUGUAGAGGUGAAAUUCGUAGAGAUUCGGAGGAACACCAGUGGCGAAGGCGGCUUACUGGUCCAUUACGUACGCUGCGGUGCGAAAGCGUGGGGAGCAAACAGGAUUAGAAACCCCUGUAGUCC
This 425-nucleotide ribosomal RNA is filed under the name uncultured bacterium. Its description in RNAcentral is "bacterial SSU rRNA". It matches the Rfam family "Bacterial small subunit ribosomal RNA", at positions 354 to 796 of the family's 1533-position model. The record is from RNAcentral.